This 566-nucleotide ribosomal RNA is filed under the name Laminaria ochroleuca. RNAcentral describes it as "LSU rRNA". It matches the Rfam family "Eukaryotic large subunit ribosomal RNA", at positions 42 to 647 of the family's 3401-position model. The record is from RNAcentral. Lineage: Eukaryota; Phaeophyceae; Laminariales; Laminariaceae.
AUAACUAAGCGGAGGAAAAGAAACUAACCAGGAUUCCCCCAGUAACGGCGAGUGAAGCGGGAAGAGCUCACGUUGUAAAUCUGCCUUCGGGCCGAAUUGUAGUCUGGAGAGGCGCGGCCAGCCGUGGCCGGGGGCGAAGUCUCUUGGAAAAGAGCAUCAAGGAGGGUGACAAUCCCGUUCUUGCCCCCACGCCGCGCGCGUACGGUCCGUUUUCUAAGAGUCGAGUUGCUUGGGAUUGCAGCUCAAAGCGGGUGGUAAAUCCCAUCUAAAGCUAAACACGGGUGGGAGACCGAUAGCGAACAAGUACCGUGAGGGAAAGAUGCAAAGAACUUUGAAAAGAGAGUUAAAGAGUGCCUGAAAUUGCUGAAAGGGAAGCGAAGGAAACCAGUGUCUGGCCUCGAAGCUUUCCCUCCGCCCUUCGGGGCUCUGGGUCGCGUCUUGGCCGUGGCCAGGGCCGGGUAUGGUUGCGGGAGCCUGCGUCGUGGAAGGUAGCCUCUCCUCGGAGGGUGAAUACCGCGGCGUGUCGUCGCGACCGUGGCCGGCUCUGACGAAAUGGUUUUCUUCAC